This 29-nucleotide small RNA is filed under the name Bombyx mori (domestic silkworm). Its description in RNAcentral is "ovarian small RNA-17791". Lineage: Eukaryota; Metazoa; Arthropoda; Insecta; Lepidoptera; Bombycidae. The record is from RNAcentral.
GUCGGCUGCGAUGGUCCUGUUGAGGCUUU